GUGGGGAAUAUUGGACAAUGGGCGCAAGCCUGAUCCAGCAAUGCCGCGUGUGUGAAGAAGGUCUUCGGAUCGUAAAGCACUUUCGACGGGGACGAUGAUGACGGUACCCGUAGAAGAAGCCCCGGCUAACUUCGUGCCAGCAGCCGCGGUAAUACGAAGGGGGCUAGCGUUGCUCGGAAUUACUGGGCGUAAAGGGCGCGUAGGCGGCUCUGUGGGUCAGGCGUGAAAUUCCUGGGCUUAACCUGGGGACUGCGCUUGAUACUGCAGGGCUUGAGGCCGAGAGAGGGUGGUGGAAUUCCCAGUGUAGAGGUGAAAUUCGUAGAUAUGGGGAAGAACACCGGUGGCGAAGGCGACCACCUGGCUCGGUACUGACGCUGAGGCGCGACAGCGUGGGGAGCAAACAGGAUUAGAUACCCUUGUAGUCC
Molecule: ribosomal RNA, 425 nt
Filed under: uncultured bacterium
Lineage: Bacteria
Description: partial 16S ribosomal RNA
Rfam family: Bacterial small subunit ribosomal RNA
Source: RNAcentral